This 309-nucleotide ribosomal RNA is filed under the name Staphylococcus aureus. RNAcentral describes it as "partial 23S ribosomal RNA". It matches the Rfam family "Bacterial large subunit ribosomal RNA", at positions 1277 to 1581 of the family's 2925-position model. Lineage: Bacteria; Bacillati; Bacillota; Bacilli; Caryophanales; Staphylococcaceae. The record is from RNAcentral.
AGCGCUUAGAAGUGAGAAUGCCGGUGUGAGUAGCGAAAGACGGGUGAGAAUCCCGUCCACCGAUUGACUAAGGUUUCCAGAGGAAGGCUCGUCCGCUCUGGGUUAGUCGGGUCCUAAGCUGAGGCCGACAGGCGUAGGCGAUGGAUAACAGGUUGAUAUUCCUGUACCACCUAUAAUCGUUUUAAUCGAUGGGGGGACGCAGUAGGAUAGGCGAAGCGUGCGAUUGGAUUGCACGUCUAAGCAGUAAGGCUGAGUAUUAGGCAAAUCCGGUACUCGUUAAGGCUGAGCUGUGAUGGGGAGAAGACAUUG